Long non-coding RNA from Bacillus rossius redtenbacheri, 809 nucleotides. RefSeq lists it as uncharacterized. Lineage: Eukaryota; Metazoa; Arthropoda; Insecta; Phasmatodea; Bacillidae. The record is from RefSeq and is a predicted model, not a curated record. The transcript is spliced from 2 exons.
UCUUCUUGUUGACCAUCAUGUGAAAAACUGUAUUAAUUUUCUGCUCUUAAUUUAUCCACCGCAUCCAUGCGGUAGUUUCAAGUUUGGGUAGCCGCCUAUUGGCGGCCCACGAGUCAUGGAUCUGGAGUCCUUCCCUAUGCCGGCCAUGCUAUGAACUACUUGUAACCCUUUGUUUGGAGUAGAGGAUGUUCUCCUCUCUUUUCUGACGGCUACGGGAUUCACUCACUCAUGAAUUCAGGAAAGUGAUUCUUCGUUUUCAUACUUCGCAUGAAGCAUGUGUUCGGCAAUAAAUGUGGACAACCUACCUAAAUUCAUUUUAUAAAUUUUUCAUCGUUUGAUUUUUUAUUUUGUUUUGCUAACAUAAAUUUAUGAAUUAAAGUAACGUUAAUAUUUAUUUAAUAUUCUGGGGCCCCAUAUUUUUAUUUUCUUUUUUUAAUUUAAGUAACAAAUGUAACAAGUGAUAUUCUAUUUAUUGUUUAUGAAGAUUUAUAAAUAACUAAGUAAUACUGUAAUACUCAUAAAGUUUUUUUUUAUAUCAAAUAUAACUGAUGGUCUGAAAAUGAGUUAGUUUCUAUUUUUAAAUAUUACCCCCAAGUUAAUCUAAAAGAAAAUAUAUUCUCAUGUCUCUAUUGUAAUUUAUACUAAUCCUUUGGUUAAUACAUAAUAGCAUAGUACAGCAAAUGUAAACGAUCCGACUUAUCUGAAACUUUCAUGUGUUAUAGUGUCCUUGGGUAAAAUGCUAUAGCAGGUGAACACCUUUCAGUCAAAACAAUAUGUCACAACGCGAAGUGAAUUCGUGCAUUUCCCCG